RNAcentral lists this ribosomal RNA (491 nucleotides) under uncultured bacterium. RNAcentral describes it as "partial 16S ribosomal RNA". It matches the Rfam family "Bacterial small subunit ribosomal RNA", at positions 29 to 506 of the family's 1533-position model. The record is from RNAcentral.
AGUGAACGCUGGCGGUAGGCCUAACACAUGCAAGUCGAACGGCAGCACAGUAAGAGCUUGCUCUUACGGGUGGCGAGUGGCGGACGGGUGAGGAAUACAUCGGAAUCUACUUUUUCGUGGGGGAUAACGUAGGGAAACUUACGCUAAUACCGCAUACGACCUACGGGUGAAAGCAGGGGAUCUUCGGACCUUGCGCGAUUGAAUGAGCCGAUGUCGGAUUAGCUAGUUGGCGGGGUAAAGGCCCACCAAGGCGACGAUCCGUAGCUGGUCUGAGAGGAUGAUCAGCCACACUGGAACUGAGACACGGGCCAGACCCCGACGGGAGGCAGCAGGGGGGAAUAUGGGACAAUGGGCGAAAGCCUGAUCCAGCCAUACCGCGGGGGUGAAGAAGGCCUUCGGGUUGUAAAGCCCUUUUGUUGGGAAAGAAAAGCAGCAGGUUAAUACCCCGCUGUUCUGACGGGACCCAAAGAAUAAGCACCGGCUAACUGCGU